Molecule: ribosomal RNA, 452 nt
Filed under: uncultured bacterium
Lineage: Bacteria
Description: bacterial SSU rRNA
Rfam family: Bacterial small subunit ribosomal RNA
Source: RNAcentral
UUCGCAAUGCCCGAAAGGGUGACGAAGCGACGCCGCGUGUGGGAAGAAGGCCUUCGGGUUGUAAACCACUGUCGGGAGUUAAGAAAUGCAAGGAUAUUAAUAGUGUCUUUGUUUGACUAAGGCUCCGGAGGAAGCCACGGCUAACUCUGUGCCAGCAGCCGCGGUAAUACAGAGGCGGCAAGCGUUGUUCGGAAUUAUUGGGCGUAAAGAGCACGUAGGCGGCUAUGUAAGUCGGUUGUGAAAGCCUUCCGCUCAACGGAAGAACAGCAUCCGAUACUACAUGGCUUGAGUGCGGGAGGGGAGAGUGGAACUUCUGGUGGAGCGGUGAAAUGCGUAGAUAUCAGAAGGAACACCGGCGGCGAAGGCGACUCUCUGGCCCGUAACUGACGCUGAGUGUGCGAAAGCUAGGGGAGCAAACGGGAUUAGAUACCCCGGUAGUCCUAGCCGUAAAC